This 28-nucleotide non-coding RNA is filed under the name Bombyx mori (domestic silkworm). The record is from RNAcentral. Lineage: Eukaryota; Metazoa; Arthropoda; Insecta; Lepidoptera; Bombycidae.
UGGCGAGAAUGACGUCGCGGGUGCGUUA